This 446-nucleotide ribosomal RNA is filed under the name uncultured bacterium. RNAcentral describes it as "partial 16S ribosomal RNA". It matches the Rfam family "Bacterial small subunit ribosomal RNA", at positions 338 to 795 of the family's 1533-position model. The record is from RNAcentral.
CCUACGGGUGGCAGCAGUCGAGAAUCAUUCACAAUGGGGGAAACCCUGAUGGUGCGACGCCGCGUGGGGGAAUGAAGGUCUUCGGAUUGUAAACCCCUGUCAUGUGGGAGCAAAUUAAAAAGAUAGUACCACAAGAGGAAGAGACGGCUAACUCUGUGCCAGCAGCCGCGGUAAUACAGAGGUCUCAAGCGUUGUUCGGAAUCACUGGGCGUAAAGCGUGCGUAGGCUGUUUCGUAAGUCGUGUGUGAAAGGCGGGGGCUCAACCCGCGGACGGCACAUGAUACUGCGAGACUAGAGUACUGGUGGGGUAAGCGGAAUUCGUGGUGUAGCGGUGAAAUGCGUAGAUAUCGAGAGGAACACUCGUGGCGAAGGCAGGUUCCUGGACAGUAACUGACGCUGAGGCACGAAGGUGAGGGGAUCGAAAGGGAUUAGAUACCCGAGUAGUC